RNAcentral lists this transfer RNA (71 nucleotides) under Taeniamia fucata (orangelined cardinalfish). RNAcentral describes it as "tRNA-Ile". It matches the Rfam family "tRNA". From Rfam's summary of the family: Transfer RNA (tRNA) molecules are approximately 80 nucleotides in length. Their secondary structure includes four short double-helical elements and three loops (D, anti-codon, and T loops). Further hydrogen bonds mediate the characteristic L-shaped molecular structure. tRNAs have two regions of fundamental functional importance: the anti-codon, which is responsible for specific mRNA codon recognition, and the 3' end, to which the tRNAs corresponding amino acid is attached (by aminoacyl-tRNA synthetases). tRNAs cope with the degeneracy of the genetic code in two manners: having more than one tRNA (with a specific anti-codon) for a particular amino acid; and 'wobble' base-pairing, i.e. permitting non-standard base-pairing at the 3rd anti-codon position. RNAcentral also lists the same sequence under 2 other names. The record is from RNAcentral. Lineage: Eukaryota; Metazoa; Chordata; Actinopteri; Kurtiformes; Apogonidae.
GGAGCCGUGCCUGAAGCCAAAGGGCCACUUUGAUAGAGUGAAUAAUGGGGGUUAAAGUCCCCCCGCCUCCU